Molecule: ribosomal RNA, 440 nt
Filed under: uncultured bacterium
Lineage: Bacteria
Description: partial 16S ribosomal RNA
Rfam family: Bacterial small subunit ribosomal RNA
Source: RNAcentral
CCUACGGGAGGCUGCAGUGGGGGAUAUUGCACAAUGGGGGGAACCCUGAUGCAGCGACGCCGCGUGGGUGAAGAAGCGCCACGGCGCGUAAAGCCCUGUCAGCAGGGAAGAAAAUGACGGUACCUGACGAAGAAGCCCCGGCUAACUACGUGCCAGCAGCCGCGGUAAUACGAAGGGGGCAAGCGUUAUCCGGAUUUACUGGGGGUAAAGGGGGCGCAGGCGGCGAUGCAAGCCAGGCGUGAAAGCCCGGGGCCCAACCCCGGGACUGCUCGUGGAACUGCGUGGCUGGAGUGCAGGAGGGGCAGGCGGGAUUCCUGGUGUAGCGGUGAAAUGCGUAGAUAUCAGGAGGAACACCGGUGGCGAAGGCGGCCUGCUGGACUGCAACUGACGUUGAGGCCCGAAAGCGUGGGGAGCAAACAGGAUUAGAUACCCGUGUAGUC